CCUCGGGCGGCAGCAGUGGGGAAUAUUGGACAAUGGGCGAAAGCCUGAUCCAGCCAUGCCGCGUGUGUGAAGAAGGCCUUCGGGUUGUAAAGCACUUUCAGUGGGGAAGAAAGCCUUGGGGCUAAUACCCUCGAGGAAGGACAUCACCCACAGAAGAAGCACCGGCUAACUCCGUGCCAGCAGCCGCGGUAAUACGGAGGGUGCGAGCGUUAAUCGGAAUUACUGGGCGUAAAGCGCGCGUAGGCGGUCUGAUAAGCCGGUUGUGAAAGCCCCGGGCUCAACCUGGGAACGGCAUCCGGAACUGUCAGGCUAGAGUGCAGGAGAGGAAGGUAGAAUUCCCGGUGUAGCGGUGAAAUGCGUAGAGAUCGGGAGGAAUACCAGUGGCGAAGGCGGCCUUCUGGACUGACACUGACGCUGAGGUGCGAAAGCGUGGGUAGCACACAGGAUUAGAUACCCUGGUAGUC
RNAcentral lists this ribosomal RNA (464 nucleotides) under Vreelandella stevensii. RNAcentral's name for it is "partial 16S ribosomal RNA". It matches the Rfam family "Bacterial small subunit ribosomal RNA", at positions 339 to 795 of the family's 1533-position model. Lineage: Bacteria; Pseudomonadati; Pseudomonadota; Gammaproteobacteria; Oceanospirillales; Halomonadaceae. The record is from RNAcentral.